This 497-nucleotide ribosomal RNA is filed under the name uncultured bacterium. RNAcentral describes it as "partial 16S ribosomal RNA". It matches the Rfam family "Bacterial small subunit ribosomal RNA", at positions 28 to 507 of the family's 1533-position model. The record is from RNAcentral.
GACGAACGCUGGCGGCGUGCCUAAUACAUGCAAGUUGAGCGAUGAAGCUUGGUGCUUGCACCAAUUUGAAGAGCAGCGAACGGGUGAGUAACGCGUGGGGAAUCUGCCUUUGAGCGGGGGACAACAUUUGGAAACGAAUGCUAAUACCGCAUAACAACUUUAAACAUAAGUUUUAAGUUUGAAAGAUGCAAUUGCAUCACUCAAAGAUGAUCCCGCGUUGUAUUAGCUAGUUGGUGAGGUAAAGGCUCACCAAGGCGAUGAUACAUAGCCGACCUGAGAGGGUGAUCGGCCACAUUGGGACUGAGACACGGCCCAAACUCCUACGGGAGGCAGCAGUAGGGAAUCUUCGGCAAUGGACGAAAGUCUGACCGAGCAACGCCGCGUGAGUGAAGAAGGGUGUCGGAUCGUAAAACUCUGUUGGUAGAGAAGAACGUUGGUGAGAGUGGAAAGCUCAUCAAGUGACGGUAACUACCCAGAAAGGGACGGCUAACUACGUG